AUGAAAACAGGUUCGGCCCUUCGGAGAGCCGGCCAGGGCGCGGGGGCGGCCGGGGCUGAGCCGGGGCGGCCGCGGCAAGGGACGUGGUGCUGCGGUGCUGCCGGAGGAGCAUCGCCUGGUGCUGCCUCCUGCGUCCCACGGGGCCACCGUGUCUGCGUGGUCACAGCAGGGUUGGCACCCCUGGGAGCCUCGCUGGCACCUCGGGGUGCUCACGUCCAGGGUUUAUCCACCCCGAGCUUUUCUUUCGGCCAGCUGCACUCGCAGGUCCGAAAGCGGGACGGGGCAGGGCAGAAAGACAGCCUGUCCUCGUUGGUUUUGUACCGCAGCUCUGAAGGUUUGAACAUCUGGUGCCUGCUGGCAGGGACGUGGGUGCCUGCCGGCAUGGGAAGCCACCGAGGUGCUCCCCAGCUCUGGGGCCACGCGGGGACACCCAGCAAGGCAAUGGCACCGCUUGGGGUGGCGAUCUGCGGGGUCACAGCUCUGCAGGAGGGUGUGGAAGUCCCAUCACACCCAGCCUGGAGCCUGCAGACCACCAGGCGGAGGUUUGUGCCCGGCGUGGAGCUGUUGGACAGGGCGGGCAGGGGCGAACGGCCGCGCAGCCCCCUGCCAGCUGGCCUGCUGCCCGCUUUCCCCUGCUCUCUUGUGUUACUUAGGUUGGCAGGCGGCUGCGCGGGUGCUGCCAAAGCUGACGGGGCUGGGGCUCUGCUCUGGGCCCUCUUUGUCUUGCCUCGUGGCUGCGCAUCAGGUUGCUGGUCCACUGCUGUCCUCAGCAUCCUCUGCUGGCACACGGCAGCAGCGGGCCCCGGGCCAGGGCGGCCAUCAGACAGGUUCUCCCGGCCCUUCCCAGAGAGUUUGUGGCUUUUGGUGGAGCUGGUGCAUGUUUGGGCCAGUUCUGGCCUGGAAAACCCUUCUGCAGGGCCUUCCAGUUUGUCUCCUGGUGCUGCCUGCAGCCUUACUGGUGCUGCAGGGUCUGUUAUCAAAGCAACCAGCCUGCAGGUCUCUGACCCAGCCGGACCCACCCCUCUGGGCACGGUGUGA
Molecule: long non-coding RNA, 1038 nt
Filed under: Anser cygnoides (Swan goose)
Lineage: Eukaryota; Metazoa; Chordata; Aves; Anseriformes; Anatidae
Description: lncRNA (ENSACDG00005001632.1)
Source: RNAcentral